UACGACGGGGGCUAGCGUUGCUCGGAAUUACUGGGCGUAAAGCGCACGUAGGCGGCUUUCUAAGUCGGGGGUGAAAUCCUGGAGCUCAACUCCAGAACUGCCUUCGAUACUGGAGAGCUUGAGUCCGGGAGAGGUGAGUGGAACUGCGAGUGUAGAGGUGAAAUUCGUAGAUAUUCGCAAGAACACCAGUGGCGAAGGCGGCUCACUGGCCCGGUACUGACGCUGAGGUGCGAAAGCGUGGGGAGCAAACAGG
This 253-nucleotide ribosomal RNA is filed under the name uncultured bacterium. RNAcentral's name for it is "partial 16S ribosomal RNA". It matches the Rfam family "Bacterial small subunit ribosomal RNA", at positions 524 to 776 of the family's 1533-position model. The record is from RNAcentral.